Non-coding RNA from Callithrix jacchus (white-tufted-ear marmoset), 5058 nucleotides. The record is from RefSeq and is a predicted model, not a curated record. Lineage: Eukaryota; Metazoa; Chordata; Mammalia; Primates; Cebidae.
AAAGGUCACGAAAGUCAUACUAAUUUGUGAAAAAAAAGUCAUUAAAUUGUGAAGAGAUAACUUGGCCAAUUUGAGGUAACUUGAUUCAGUUAAUCAUGAUCUCUCAAUAAGAAUUCAUGUACAGCCAUAUUUUUAAUGCUGGUAACCUUUGAAAGAGAUCUGAAAAGCCAUCUAUUGAAUUAUGGCCAAGUAUACUCUGUGCUGUGAGUUCCAGAUCUAGAGCAGACGUGGCCUGUUGACUUUCGGCCCUAAGCUAAGCUGAGCUUUAUUUUGUUGUUCCGUGGGAGAAACUGAAUGGGAAAUGGAAUUACCACUGGGAAAAUGCUGUUCUUUACCCACGAGUGAUGGAUUACUUUUUCUAUAUGUGAGCAAACUGCUGAGGAAUGGACCGUACUCCCUGAAAAACAAUAGCCAAGCCAUCUCUUAACAUAAUAAUAUCUGCUCAAGGCAUCUGUAAUGCAGUCAGAAAAAAUAGAUACGUGCUUGAUACGCUAUGUCACUUUAUAGGGGUAGUUUUUCUCCCAUUUGCUUUGGUUUGGUUCAUGCCUAGAUAGCCUAAGAAUCCAAGAAGUAUGGAGCUUGAAAUGGCACCUAGACUUCAUAUCUUUAUUUAUGCUGUGCCUCAUUCCACAAAGAAUGUAACCAAUUUAGGAUUCUUAUAGCUAAGCUACUUACUUAAGGGAUCUAGAAACUGAGGCUCUGAGAAGUGGUUUCCCCAAAGUCCCUCUGUUAGUUAGUGGAAGGGCUGGAACCGAGACUCCUACAUUUCUGUCUCCUUGUUGAGGAGAGUUGUCAUUACAUCCCAACCCAGCCCACCCCACCAUUCAUUCAUUGUUAUUUCAAUAACUAUGUUAAGAACAAACACUUGCCAAGCACUGUGUUAGUGUAAUAGGAAAUAGGAUGGACAUGAGUCCUGUCCUCAGAGGACAGCUUAUCAUCUAGAGAGAAGUUCAGAUUUGGAGCAAAUGUUCACACAAAUCAGUUAGGUAAAAUAUGAAAGAAAUAGACCUAUAACAGCAAUCGUUGUCUAGGGCGCUAUGAGUAUAUUAAGAAGGUCCUAGAAGGCUUGUUCUAGGAAAUGAUGUUUAUGAUGAGCUAUAAAGGAGAAAUAAGAGUAAAUCAGCCAAAGGAUUUGUUAAGUAGAGUAGAAGAGAAUGGAGUAAGGGAAGACCCUGAGGUGGGUAGAUCUCCGUUCAGCUGAGAAGUGGAAAGAAAGCCUGUGCAGCUGGGCUGGGGAUGGUGGAUCACCUGAGGUCAAGAGUUCAAGACCAGCCUGGCCAACAUAGUGAAAUCCAGUCUCUACUAAAAAUACAAAAAUUAGCCGGGUAUGGUGGCAUGCACCUGUAGUCCCAGCUACUCGGGGAAGCUGAGGCAAAAGAAUUGCUUAAACCCAGAAAUGAGAGGUUGCAGUGAGCCAAGACAGUGCCACUGCAUAUCCCAGUACCACUGGGCAACAGAGUGAGACUCUGUCUCAAAAAAAAAGCAAAAACAGCCUGUGCAGCUGGACUGGGGCAUAGUGAGCAAGGGAAAAAAGCACUAGAGGGGGCCAGACAUGGGGGCUAGAACCUCAGAGCCUCUUCAUUGACUUUGCACUUGAUCCUAAGUGCCUUAAGAAGCCAUAAGAAGGGGUUAGAAAUAUGAUCAGUUUUAUGUGUUAGGAUCUUAACUUUGCUGGGUGAAGAAUGGGAUGUAACUGGGUUGCUUUUACAUUAAUGCAGGUGAGAAAUGAUGAUGGCUUAUAGAAAUAGGAUCGGAUGAAAGAUCCAAGAUAUGUUUUGAAGGUAAAAUCAAUGAGACGUGCUGGUUGGAAGUACAGAUGAGGGAAGAGAAUUUUCAAGAAUGACCUCUGGUUCCUGGUUGAACAGCUGGACAGAUAUUGUUGACAUUUACUCAGGUGGAGAGAAUUGGCUGUGGAACCAUAUGGUGAUUGAGUGGGAUAAAAAGCUCUAUUUUAUUUGAGAUGCUUGUAAGACAUCUAGUGGAGACAUAAAGUAAGAAUUGGGUAUGCAGGUUCUAAGCUCAAAAGAUUUAGGCUAAAUAUGUGAAUUUGGAAGACAUCCAUAUAUAGACUAGUCUUUGAAUUUAAGGGAAGGUAAUAAUUCACCUAGUUAGAGGUAAUUGAACUCACAUUGGAAAGGAAGGAUAGGUGGGGUAUAAAUUAAAUAAAGAGCACAAAAAUUAGCCAGAUGGUGGCCCAUAUCUGUAAUUCCAGCUACUCUGGAGGCUGAGACAGGAGAAUCACUUGAACUCAGGAAGUGGAGGCUACAGUGAGCUGAGAUUGUGCCAUUGCACUCCAUCCUGGGUGACAGUGAGACUCCAUCUUAAAAAAAAAAAUGAAAGAAGAAGGAAGAAAGGGAGGGAGGAAGGAAAAAAAAAAAGAGAAAGGCAUUUCAAGAAAAGGCAGUGAUCUGUGACUUUUAAGCUCAUCACCCUGUAAUGGAUCUUAAAGCAUUCCCCAAAGAUAGCAUGCUUUGAGUAGAAUGCACUACUCCAGGGCAAUCUGUAAAGAAACAUGUACUUGAGGGGUGUGUGUUAUCGGAUGAAUCACCCCGUAUUGCAGACUGGCAACAAGAAGAUGCUACUGUGCGUCACACUUAAGAGGGAACUUAGUAGAGAGCAAAAGCUAUUUGAUAACAAUGACUCCAGUUAUGCUGAUGGACCAGGAAGCCCUGAAUCCAUAAAGGCAUACCUUAAACAAGCUCCACCUUCCAAAGGACCUACGGUUUACACAAAAAAGGUAGGGGAAAAUGAAGCUGUCUUAGAGUGGGACCAAAUUCCUGUUGAUGUUCAGAAUGGAUUUAUCAGAAAGGAUACUAUAUUUUAUAGAACCAUCAUUGGAAAUGAAACUGCUAUGAAUGUGGAUUCUUCCCACACAGAACAUACAUUGUCCUCUUUGAGUAGUGACACAUUGUACCUGGUACGAAUGACAGCAUACACAGAUGAAGGUGGGAAGGAUGGUCCAGAAUUCACUUUUACUACACCAAAGUUUGCUCAAGGAGAAGUUGGAGCCAUAGUCAUGCCUGUUUGUUUAGCAUUCGUCGUGACAACUCUUCUGGGAGUGUUGUUCUGCUUUAAUAAGGGAGACUAAUUAAAAAACACAUCUAGCCUAAUGUUCCAGAUCUUUCAAAGAGUCAUAUUGCCCAGGGGUUACCUCACACUCCUCCAAGGCACAAUUUUAAUUCAAAAGAUCAAAUGUAUUCAGAUGGCAAUUUCACUGAUGUAAGUGUUGUGGAAAUAUAAGUGAAUGACAAAAAGCCUUUUCUGGAAGAUCUAAAAUCACUGGACCUGUUCAAAAAGGAAAAAAUUAAUACUGAGCCGGGUGCGGUGGCUCACACCUGUAAUCCCAGCACUUUGGGAGGCCGAGGCGGGUGGAUCACGAGGUCAAGAGAUCGAGACCAUCCUAGUCAACAUGGUGAAACCCCAUCUCUACAAAAAAUACAAAAAUGAGCUGGGCAUGGUGGCGUGUGCCUGUAAUCCCAGCUACUCAAGAGGCUGAGGCAGGAGAAUUGCUUGAACCCAGGAGGCGGAGGUUGUUGAGCCGAGAUCGCGCCAUUGCACUCCAGCCUGGGAAACAAGAGCGAAACUCCGUCUCAAAAAAAAAUUAAUACUGAAGGACACAACAGUGGUAUUGGGGGGUCAUCAUGCAUGUCAUUUUCUAGGCCAAGUAUUUCUACCAGUGAUGAAAAUGAAUCUUCACAAAACACUUGAAGCACUGUCCAGUAGUCUACUAUGGUACACAGUGGCUGCAGACACCAAGUUCCAUCAGUCAAGGUCUUCUCAAGAUCUGAGUCCACCCAGCCCUUGCUAGAUUCAGAGGAGCGGCCAGAAGAUCUACAAUUAGUAGGUCAUAUAGAUGGUGGUGGUGGCAUUUUGCCCAGGCAGCAGUACUUCAAACAGAACUGCAGGCAGCAUGAAUCCAGUCCAGACAGUUCAUAUUUUGAAAGGUCAAAGCAAGUUUUAUCAGUCAAUAAGGAGAUUCUCUUAGAUUUAAACAACAGAUUUCAGAUCAUAUUUUACAAUCCUGGAGAUCCGGACAAGAGAAAAUGUUUAAGGAAGUUUCUGCCCAGAUUCUUUUGGUCCAGAUACUGAGGGACAAGUAGAAAGAUUUGAAACAGUCAGGAUACAGCCUGUGAUUGGUGAAGGAAUGGCUAAAAGUCACUUAGCACAGCCUGUACGGCAAGGCAGCUGCAUGCCUCAGUGAAGGACUAGCAGUUCCUGUUACACUUCAGCCGUACCUAUAAAGUAAAGCUAAAAUUAUUUUAUCUGCGAACUCAGAUUUUAAAAAGUCUCUACUCUCUGAAGAUGAUCAUUUACCCUUAAGGACAAAAAUGAACUGAACUCUCACAUGAGCUAUUUCCAUUCCAGAAUAUCUGGGAUUCCACUUGAAGCACUACAUAAACUCACUUUAUCCUCAGACUAACUGAAUGACUUUGUGCUGUUUCAGGAUGUUUGCUCUGAAGAAAAACAGAAAGCUUAUCUGAAAUUUGUAAAGUAAAACUUUUUGUUUUGCUACAUAGAAAAUAAGAUAUUUAAAUAAUAAGCUUAAUGAGCACAGCUAUAUCAAUUUUGAUUAGAAAGUCAUCAAACUGGCUUUGGGACAGUUAAUAUAAAAGAUUGGAGGAGCAAGGUCUAGACCAUUUACUUCAGCUAACAUAACUUAAAAAGAGCUUCAUAGGCCAUAACCAUAUGAACCCAGCUUUUGUAAUCUGACAGAAAAAUGAGAAGUAGCCUCGUGUAUAUCAAUGUACACAAUAUUCCUUAGGUUCCUUCCGUUGAUAGUGAUGCUGCCAGUUAUUACUGGAAGAAAGGAAUUCUAGAGCUUUAACUUGUUAGAUUAAAAAUACUCAUGUUUUAUUCAUCAAUAAUCAGUAAUCUCACUAGUUUUCAAAACUUUGCUUAUUAUUGACAACCUCUUUGAGGAUCAGUUUUACAAACUCAACAGAGUGCCAUGUUAAGAGCUAGGGAACCCCCAAACUAUCUGAAGCAUUUAAAAAAUUGCCAUUUUUAAAGCCGUGAAUUGUUAAUGUUUAUAUAUAUAAAUGUCAUUGACCUUUCUUG